RNAcentral lists this small RNA (83 nucleotides) under Marmota monax (woodchuck). The record is from RNAcentral. Lineage: Eukaryota; Metazoa; Chordata; Mammalia; Rodentia; Sciuridae.
GCCAGGUGUGGUGGUGCAUGCCUGUAAUCCUAGCAGCUCGGGAGGCUGAGGCAGGAGAAUUGUGAGUUCAAAGCCAGUCUCAG